This 451-nucleotide ribosomal RNA is filed under the name uncultured bacterium. Its description in RNAcentral is "partial 16S ribosomal RNA". It matches the Rfam family "Bacterial small subunit ribosomal RNA", at positions 29 to 507 of the family's 1533-position model. The record is from RNAcentral.
AUGCACGCUGGCGGCGUGCCUAACCCAUGCCAGUCGAGCGAUUCUCUUCGGAGAAGAGCGGCGGACGGGUGAGUAACGCGUGGGUAACCUGCCCUGUACACACGGAUAACAUACCGAAAGGUAUGCUAAUACGAGAUAAUAUGCUUUUAUCGCAUGGUAGAAGUAUCAAAGCUUUUGCGGUACAGGAUGGACCCGCGUCUGAUUAGCUAGUUGGUAAGGUAACGGCUUACCAAGGCGACGAUCAGUAGCCGACCUGAGAGGGUGAUCGGCCACAUUGGAACUGAGACACGGUCCAAACUCCUACGGGAGGCAGCAGUGGGGAAUAUUGCACAAUGGGCGAAAGCCUGAUGCAGCAACGCCGCGUGAGCGAUGAAGGCCUUCGGGUCGUAAAGUUCUGUCCUCAAGGAAGAUAAUGACGGUACUUGAGGAGGAAGCCCCGGCUAACUACGUG